RNAcentral lists this ribosomal RNA (450 nucleotides) under human gut metagenome. Its description in RNAcentral is "bacterial SSU rRNA". It matches the Rfam family "Bacterial small subunit ribosomal RNA", at positions 1084 to 1533 of the family's 1533-position model. The record is from RNAcentral.
GUCCCGCAACGAGCGCAACCCUCGCCCUGUGUUGCCAGCACGUCGUGGUGGGAACUCACGGGGGACCGCCGGGGUCAACUCGGAGGAAGGUGGGGAUGACGUCAGAUCAUCAUGCCCCUUACGUCCAGGGCUUCACGCAUGCUACAAUGGCCGGUACAACGGGAUGCGACACUGCGAGGUGGAGCGGAUCCCUAAAACCGGUCUCAGUUCGGAUUGGAGUCUGCAACCCGACUCCAUGAAGGCGGAGUCGCUAGUAAUCGCGGAUCAGCAACGCCGCGGUGAAUGCGUUCCCGGGCCUUGUACACACCGCCCGUCAAGUCAUGAAAGUGGGUAGCACCCGAAGCCGGUGGCCCAACCUUUUGGGGGGAGCCGUCUAAGGUGAGACUCGUGAUUGGGACUAAGUCGUAACAAGGUAGCCGUACCGGAAGGUGCGGCUGGAUCACCUCCUUU